This is a non-coding RNA of Saimiri boliviensis boliviensis (Bolivian squirrel monkey), 1335 nucleotides long. The record is from RefSeq and is a predicted model, not a curated record. NCBI's taxonomy places the organism in Eukaryota, Metazoa, Chordata, Mammalia, Primates, Cebidae.
UGUAUUGCUCUGGGCCUCCAUUGAUUUGUCUGUAAAAUGGGAUAUUUGGGCUAUUCUGUGUCUGUAGUCUCUUAAAUUGUUAAUAUCCUCGAAUUCCAUUUUCUGAUGAUGUCUUAAUGGGUAUGUGGAUUUCCCCCUUCCUUUUUUCCAGCAGUGCUCCUCUGCACUGGCCUCAGAACAGUAGCCCACACUCCUAGAAUGAGAAAAUGGCAUCUUCUUCAGAGGACAGAGCUUCAAAUAACCUAAAAGAGAGUUGCUCUUUUUGGCCCUUCAGCAUUUUUCCUUCUUAAAAGUGAGAUAGCCUACUUUUUGGUCCUCUCACACUCCCAGUGAGGCUUUCUGGGCCUCCCUUUGUCUGUUUCCUCCCCCUCUUCCUGCUGGCAGAAGUAUGGAUUGUGGAGAGCCUCAUGCCCAUGUUGCCUGGCUACAGGGUGACAAUUCUGCCCAGUGCCUGGCUGCUGUGAACGUGCCUGAUGUCGAGAUUUCUCUGGAUCUUCCAUGGACAAUGUUCUGAGAACCUCUUGUUAGGAUGAGACCUCGAGGUGCUGUCUUGCCUCAAGAUAUUGAAAAAAGACACGAUGCGGCUAGUGUGGAGUUUUAUUGGCUACAAAACAGAUGCACAAUGAUGAGAAUCUGAAGGCUACAGUAGGAAAGGAGAGCUUUAACUCAUAAACUCACACUGAGUCGAAAAGUGCAAUAUAUUAAGAGCAUUAUAAGAAAUCUGGUGAGAUUGUUACAGAAGAAAAAAUUAAAAGUUUCUGAGUCUGAUAACUCCAAGGAUGUCUCUUAGAAGUCACUCAUUAGUGUCUGGGCGAGGACUUUCCUUGGGGGAAAAUAGAUUUUACAACAGGCAGAAAUGUUUAUUGGUCUCAUGCUUGCUUUUGGAUCUCAUUCACUUGACAAAGAACUAAUCUUCCAUUGACGGUCUCCUGUGUUAUGGCCUUGAUCUUUGGAGUUGCGGACGCUGAGAAAAAGAGUACAGAAGACGUCACUGCCAUGCUUCCUCCACCAUCUGAACUGUACUCAUUUUCAGUUCCCUGCUGUCAGCCCCUGAAGGCUCUUGGCACCUUCCAAAAUGAUCACUAAGCAAUGUGGCGGGCUCUGCUGCAGGGAAAAGGGAUUUCCUCAAGGAGGGAUUUUCUCCCACUCUCCAGGAGAUGAGGAUCUCUGAACAGUGUCACCUUCUGGAGGUGAAGACCUUCAUCAGUGACUAAACCCAGAGAUGCACACAUACGCCCACAGGAGCUGGAUGCUUGUCGCAUGCUCCUCUCAUGCCAGCCUUCGCCUUCUUACCCUUCGCUGUCUCCCUCCAGGAGCUGUCGGUAUGUGGUGAUU